Molecule: ribosomal RNA, 274 nt
Filed under: uncultured bacterium
Lineage: Bacteria
Description: partial 16S ribosomal RNA
Rfam family: Bacterial small subunit ribosomal RNA
Source: RNAcentral
AUACGGAGGGGGUUAGCGUUGUUCGGAAUUACUGGGCGUAAAGCGCACGUAGGCGGAUUGGAAAGUUGGGGGUGAAAUCCCAGGGCUCAACCCUGGAACUGCCUCCAAAACUAACAGUCUAGAGUUCGAGAGAGGUGAGUGGAAUUCCAAGUGUAGAGGUGAAAUUCGUAGAUAGUUGGAGGAACACCAGUGGCGAAGGCGGCUCACUGGCUCGAUACUGACGCUGAGGUGCGAAAGCGUGGGGAGCAAACAGGAUUAGAUACCCUAGUAGUCC